Molecule: long non-coding RNA, 1073 nt
Organism: Aegilops tauschii subsp. strangulata
Lineage: Eukaryota; Viridiplantae; Streptophyta; Magnoliopsida; Poales; Poaceae
Source: RefSeq, a predicted model, not a curated record
CAAAAUCAAUGAACUUUUAUCAAAUCCGAUGAACUUUUUAUCAAAUCAAUGAACUUUUUUGUAAUUCGUGAACUGUUUUCAAAAUUUAACAAACUAUUUUUAUUAGAAUACUUGAUAUUUUCCAUAUAAUUUUCAAAUAACUCAAAAAUCUCAAUGGUAUAGUAAUGGCUGAGUAAUAAAUAGCACGGGUUCAUUAGUUCUAAACCUGUUCGCAUUGGUUUCUGUUCACUAGCGCUCUAAGCUGUAGUGCUUAAGCUAAGCAAUUACAUGCAAGUGUGGCGUGAGAUCGAUACCUAGUUCUGCCAAUUUUUCACGUGUUUUUUUUCAGGAACGAAACUGUUUCUGGGCCGGCCGUAGAAACGGCCCACACAGGGCGUGUUGUAGGCGCCACUUUCUCGUUCGGGCGCCUACAGCGCCGAACAGGAGCUCCCCACGCACGGUGCCAGACACCAGCGGCUGACCUCUCCUGCCUCUCCCUCGCCCCCUCCCCUCCAGCCGGCCAUCUCCCUCCCCUGCCCUCGGCCUUCGGCAUCCGGCCCUCUCCUCCGCGGCUCCGUCAGGCGCCAGGCCGCCAAUCCACCUCCGGCCUCCCUAGCACGGGGCAGCUCCCUGACUUCCUCCGGCCACCGUCCUCGGGCUCGGGGCUCCCCGGCUCGGCGGCUCCCCGGCGUGGCGGCACCGCGGCAGCGCCAUCCAGCAGGCAACAGGCAGCAGACCAGCAGCAUCAGUCCGGCAUCCACACAAUGUUUGUCCAAUCUUAAGUUGGUGCUCAUUCUUCUGGUAGCCACUGCCAGUGUUGAGAGGGUAUUUACCUCAAUGAAAUACGUGAAGAAUCCACUAAGAAACAAAAUGGAUGAUGAAUAUUUGAACAAUUGCUUGGUUACAUUUCGUUGAGGGUGAAUUCUUCAAGCAAGUGAAAGAUGAGGAUGUCAUCAAUCUCUUCCAAAAAGGGGAUCUUAAAGUUAUAUUGUAAUUUUCUUUGCUAUUUGUAAUCUUUCUUAAUUGUUAGAGAUAUUGCCACAAUGAUAUUUUGCUACUAUUAUUGAUAUAUGGUCAUUGAGUCAUUGAUGUUA